GCUGUAGUAGGUCCCAAGGGUUGGGCUGUUCGCCCAUUAAAGUGGUACGCGAGCUGGGUUCAGAACGUCGUGAGACAGUUCGGUCCCUAUCCGUCGCAGGCGUAGGAAAUUUGAGAAGACCUGUCCUUAGUACGAGAGGACCGGGAUGGACGUACCUCUGGUGUACCAGUUGUUCUGCCAAGGGCAUGGCUGGGUAGCUAUGUACGGAAUGGAUAAGCGCUGAAAGCAUCUAAGCGCGAAGCCAACUUUAAGAUAAGAUUUCCCACCGCAAGGGUAAGACCCCAGAAAGACUAUCUGGUUGAUAGGUCGAAGGUGUAAGUGCAGCAAUGUAUUUAGCUUAUCGAUACUAAUAGGUCGAGGACUUGACCAAU
RNAcentral lists this ribosomal RNA (371 nucleotides) under Clostridioides difficile. RNAcentral's name for it is "bacterial LSU rRNA". It matches the Rfam family "Bacterial large subunit ribosomal RNA", at positions 2552 to 2925 of the family's 2925-position model. The record is from RNAcentral. Lineage: Bacteria; Bacillati; Bacillota; Clostridia; Peptostreptococcales; Peptostreptococcaceae.